AAGAGGCUACAUGGGACUCGGAUUAUUGAUAAUAACAUGUUUCUGCACACUGACAUGGAAUCUGUAUUGAGAUUGAUUUCUGAGGCAAUUGUGUUCCGAGCACUGCGUGUUUCGCUAAUUUGCCAGUAAUGGAUUCGCCAUUUAAUGAACACCAACUCUCGCGUUUCUGAUCGCGCUAUACAAAAGUAUCUUUCGAGAAAAAUCGUUUCAAGUGAGUUGAUAAACAUGUUACUUUGACUGAAAUUUGAACAAGAUACGUGUGAAUCCUUGGAAGCUGGGAUGCAUUUAGUUAACACAGUAAACACUGCUGAUGAGGGGAAAGAUUAAAGACCUCGUGUGAUUCUUCGUUUGUAUUGGACAUUGCACAGACUUUAAUAGACAAACGCUGGCAACCAUCAUAAUGAUAAAUUCAUCUACCACUCAGCCCUCCCAAGACCUCAAAUUUAAAGAAGCCGGUAAACCUCACAUCACACAGACUAUCCUCAUGAUGUCUGGAGAUGUGGAAUCCAACCCUGGACCAAAAAGCAAGCAUUCGAGUCAUUCCGAAAAUGAAGAAGACUUUGAUGACAUCUUAAAAGACGUGGCGAGUCGCAUCGGAGGCAACAUGGCUAUAGAUAAUCUCGGCAAGCCCUUGGUUUUGAUCCGGCCGAAAUUGAGAGGUACAUAGCCACGAACACCCGUUAUCAGCAUGUGACGUAUGAUGGUACAUUGAAGAUGCUCCGCAAUUGGCGAGAUAGCCAAACAGAGGCAACGGAACGACCAGCUCUUGCAGAUGCUUUGAAGCUAGCAGGACUUGUAAGAAUUGCAAAUAUCUUCAUCCGGACCCCGAAGGUUCAAAAACUCCAAACCGGUGUGUACUCACAGUUUAAAUUAAUGUUGUUUU
Strongylocentrotus purpuratus (purple sea urchin) is the source of this 883-nucleotide long non-coding RNA. RefSeq lists it as uncharacterized. The transcript is spliced from 3 exons. Lineage: Eukaryota; Metazoa; Echinodermata; Echinoidea; Camarodonta; Strongylocentrotidae. The record is from RefSeq and is a predicted model, not a curated record.